AUUAGUGUUGAAUUGUUUUACUUUUAAAAAAUCCAUCGCCGCCGUCGUCCUCACACUGCCAUCAUCCUUGCAUUUUGAAGCUCCAACCUAAAGAUGCCGCCGAACACAUCUUCGUCAAAGGGACUUGGUUCCACUCCCAUUUCGACCUCUUAAUAAUAAUUGAUGGCCUUCACACUUGGAUCUGCCAAGGUAUACGUCAUGGGGUGGAAGAUUACCUCAUAGACCUGUUAAGGUUCUAGCAUUUGCAGUUUCACUCUUUUUCCAGCAUGGAAGGAGCUUUUAAAAUUACUAUAUGGUCUACUUAGUGAGCCUAAAUGGGGCAUCUGAAAGAUCUACAUGCUUCUAUAAAGCUUUGUGAACCUACACUAGUUGCAGUUGAUUCACUCUAGUAUAUUAAAUUGGGACCAAAGUAGGAGGUUUGUACUAACCAUCGUCUAUCCUUGUUCUUGCUUAAUUAUUUAGUACAUGGUAUCUACUUAUCUAGUUCUCUGUCUUUGAUAAUUGAUAUAUAAAAUGAAAUAUGUAUUUUCUUCAUAUGUGUGAUGAGUCAUUGUCAUCUGCAAACUCUGAUGUCCUAGCAUGAAUUUUUCACAUUUUUAAACAUGAUUUGAUCUAGAAAUUUUUUAGAGGAGUUAAAUAUAGAUUGUUCCAUUUGACCAUAAA
Long non-coding RNA from Ziziphus jujuba (common jujube), 663 nucleotides. RefSeq lists it as uncharacterized. The record is from RefSeq and is a predicted model, not a curated record. The transcript is spliced from 3 exons. NCBI's taxonomy places the organism in Eukaryota, Viridiplantae, Streptophyta, Magnoliopsida, Rosales, Rhamnaceae.